ACGCCUAGGACACCAGAAUA
Molecule: small nuclear RNA, 20 nt
Filed under: Arabidopsis thaliana (thale cress)
Lineage: Eukaryota; Viridiplantae; Streptophyta; Magnoliopsida; Brassicales; Brassicaceae
Description: snRNA_02842
Source: RNAcentral